GCGCACGUGGCGUAAUUGGUAGCCGCGCUAGACUUAGGAUCUAGUGUCGUGAGACGUGGGGGUUCGAGUCCCUUCGUGCGCACCA
Molecule: transfer RNA, 85 nt
Filed under: Muribaculaceae bacterium
Lineage: Bacteria; Pseudomonadati; Bacteroidota; Bacteroidia; Bacteroidales; Muribaculaceae
Description: tRNA-Leu
Rfam family: tRNA
About the family: Transfer RNA (tRNA) molecules are approximately 80 nucleotides in length. Their secondary structure includes four short double-helical elements and three loops (D, anti-codon, and T loops).
Source: RNAcentral